UCUCUGACUCUGAAGGCGAAGAGAUGGGAGGGGUCGAGAGAGGACGGUGAUGCUGUAUAAUAAGAGGUUUGUUAUGUUCAGGUGCAAAAGCUGAGAAGAAGAACAGAAGCACACAUUACCACAAACUUAACACACACCCUGCGUGGAGUACAGGACUUACAUGAGAUAUGGUUCUUCUCAUUUCAGUGACCCUGCUCUUAUCAGGAACACGGAGAAAACACCAUGCUAGGGAAACCUAGCAAACCGUCCCAGCUUUGGAUUCGAUACAAUUAGCCCAGUGGACUGGGUUUUUGGUUACCUGGAAUAUUUUCUUCUUGACUGCCAGUUUUAUUUUGCAAGCCUAUCAAACUCUAUGCCCGAUGAGAAGCAAUGGCUAAGGUUCAUGUUGUCCAGUUUUUUUUGGCCCAGCCUGCCAGUGAGCACAGCGUCUAGUAGCCAUGGGAUACAGGGGACUUGAGAAUGUAACUCAGAUAGUGGGAGUACUCGUGAUGGUGUUCAGGAGUCCAGAAUCCAAGGCCAUCCUGUAACAUCUUUUGGGUGGGGUCAGUCUCACAGAUAAACCUGCCCUCUCAUUCACCACGGAAUAUGAGCAGGCAAACAGGAUGACAUCCUCCCCAAGACUCCAGCCUGAGACCCAUGAGGUGGUCUCACUUGCUGAGCUCCAGCCAGAGGUCAACGUUGCGACCUCAUCCCCAGAGCUCCAGCAGGAGACGCACAAGGUGGUCUCAUCCAGAGCUCAAAGAGACGACCUCUCAAGCCAAGUUCAUGUCCGAGGUUGAAAAGACAACCUCUCAAGGCAAGUUCCUGUCCAAGGUCAAAGAGACGACCUCCCAAGCCAAGUUCCAGUCUGAGGUCGUAGAGAUGAUUUCUCAAGCCAGGUUCCUGUCUGAGGUCGAAGAGACGACCUCUCAAGCUAAGUUCCUGUCCAAGAGUCGAAAAGACGGACACCAAUGCCUAGUUUACGUACAAGGUCAAAGAGACGACCUCUCAAGCCAAGUUCCUGUAUGAGGUCUAAGAGAUGACCUCUGAAGCCAAGUUCUUGUAUGAGCUACACACUUGACUAAUCAGACCCACCUGUUCCCAAUUACAAUUUCAAUCACAGCACACUAC
This is a long non-coding RNA of Ictalurus punctatus (channel catfish), 1110 nucleotides long. RefSeq lists it as uncharacterized. The record is from RefSeq and is a predicted model, not a curated record. The transcript has 3 exons. Lineage: Eukaryota; Metazoa; Chordata; Actinopteri; Siluriformes; Ictaluridae.